UAAAGGGAGAGGGGGAAAGGCUUGGGGGAACAGACACUCCGGAAGGCCUUGUUUCUGCCUCUGGGCUGCUGAAAGGCAAGCAAGGAGAAGGCUCUCCAGAGGGGUACAGCUAGCACUAAGAGAUGCAGGGAGCAACAAGGCCCAGUCACCAUUCAUACCAGAACUUGGGACAGACCCUGCCAAGGAGAAGCUCCCCACCAUGCAGCCAGUCUUGGAGGUGGAUUCUUAACAAGUAAUGAUUGUCGCCCAGCUGGCAGAGUGAAGAGAAGUCUCCACCUCCACCAUGGUCUCAGACAAUGAAAGGUAGCCAAAAAUCUCCACUCAGUACGUUGGUCCUCAAGUAACCACUAAAACUCUUACGGAACAAGCAGUUCACUGCCCUUCAGCUGCUUCUCCACUCUUCCUGGGUUUACCUACAUUUACUGUAAGUCCCAAGAAAUGGUAUGAGGACUACAGCUAAGAAAUUGUAUUAAGUGAUACAGUGUCAUUCAAUACCAACAGAUACUUGUUAAAUAUUUCCUGUGUACAGAGAUACUUUGCUGCUCCCUAGGGAUAAAAAGAUGAAAAACCCCACCAUCCCUGUCUUCAAAGUGCUUUCAUUUCACAUACUAAGAUGUGUGAGUGUCUUUGUUCUAGGGCCCCAGGCACCUGUGAGCAAAUGAGAGAAAGAAAUCAAAUACGUGAAAAAGAAAUAAAAACACAUAUAACUCCCCAA
Long non-coding RNA from Dromiciops gliroides (monito del monte), 715 nucleotides. RefSeq lists it as uncharacterized. Lineage: Eukaryota; Metazoa; Chordata; Mammalia; Microbiotheria; Microbiotheriidae. The record is from RefSeq and is a predicted model, not a curated record. The transcript is spliced from 2 exons.